GACAGAGGCCUCAAGCGUUAGGCGGAAUCACUGGGCUUAAAGCGUGUGUAGGCGGACUUCUAAGUGCCUUGUGAAAUCCCACGGCUCAACCGUGGAACUGCUGGGCAUACUGGGAGUCUUGGGCCAUUCAGGGGCAACUGGAACAAGCGGUGGAGCGGUGAAAUGCGUAGAUAUCGCUUGGAACGCCGAAGGUGAAAACAGGCUGCUGGGGUUGCGCCGACGCUGAGACACGAAAGCCAGGGGAGCAAACGGG
Molecule: ribosomal RNA, 253 nt
Filed under: uncultured bacterium
Lineage: Bacteria
Description: partial 16S ribosomal RNA
Rfam family: Bacterial small subunit ribosomal RNA
Source: RNAcentral